GUGCCAGCAGCCGCGGUAAUACGAAGGGGGCUAGCGUUGCUCGGAAUCACUGGGCGUAAAGCGCACGUAGGCGGGUCUUUAAGUCAGGGGUGAAAUCCCGGAGCUCAACUCCGGAACUGCCUUUGAUACUGGAGAUCUUGAGUCCGGGAGAGGUGAGUGGAACUCCGAGUGUAGAGGUGAAAUUCGUAGAUAUUCGGAAGAACACCAGUGGCGAAGGCGGCUCACUGGCCCGGUACUGACGCUGAGGUGCGAAAGCGUGGGGAGCAAACAGGAUUAGAUACCCCAGUAGUCC
Molecule: ribosomal RNA, 292 nt
Filed under: uncultured bacterium
Lineage: Bacteria
Description: partial 16S ribosomal RNA
Rfam family: Bacterial small subunit ribosomal RNA
Source: RNAcentral